RNAcentral lists this ribosomal RNA (460 nucleotides) under uncultured bacterium. Its description in RNAcentral is "partial 16S ribosomal RNA". It matches the Rfam family "Bacterial small subunit ribosomal RNA", at positions 338 to 795 of the family's 1533-position model. The record is from RNAcentral.
CCUACGGGAGGCAGCAGUGAGGAAUAUUGGUCAAUGGACGAGAGUCUGAACCAGCCAAGUAGCGUGAAGGAUGACUGCCCUCUGGGUUGUAAACUUCUUUUAUAUGGGAAUAAAAUGUUCCACGUGUGGGAUUUUGUAUGUACCAUAUGAAUAAGGAUCGGCUAACUCCGUGCCAGCAGCCGCGGUAAUACGGAGGAUCCGAGCGUUAUCCGGAUUUAUUGGGUGUAAAGGGAGCGUAGGUGGAUUGUUAAGUCAGUUGUGAAAGGUUGCGGCUCAACCGUAAAAUUGCAGUUGAAACUGGCAGUCUUGAGUACAGUAGAGGUGGGCGGAAUUCGUGGUGUAGCGGUGAAAUGCUUAGAUAUCACGAAGAACUCCGAUUGCGAAGGCAGCUCACUGGACUGCAACUGACACUGAGGCUCGAAAGUGUGGGUAUCAAACAGGAUUAGAUACCCCGGUAGUC